GUGGGGAAUUUUGGACAAUGGGCGAAAGCCUGAUCCAGCCAUGCCGCGUGUGUGAAGAAGGUCUUCGGAUUGUAAAGCACUUUAAGUUGGGCGGAAGGGCAGUAAGUUAAUACCUUGCUGUUUUGACGUUACCAACAGAAUAAGCACCGGCUAACUUCGUGCCAGCAGCCGCGUUAAUACGAAGGGUGCAAGCGUUAAUCGGAAUUCCUGGGCGUAAAGCGCGCGUAGGUGGUUCAGCAAGUUGGAGGUGAAAUCCCCGGGCUCAACCUGGGAAGUGCCUGCAAAACUACUGAGCUAGAGUACGGUAGGGGGUAGUGGAAUUUCCUGUGUAGCGGGGAGAUGCGUAGAGAGAGGAAGGAACACCAGUGGCGAAGGCGACUACCUGGACUGAUACGGACACUGAGGUGCGAAAGCGUGGGGAGCAAACAGGAUUAGAAACCCGAGUAGUCC
This 450-nucleotide ribosomal RNA is filed under the name uncultured bacterium. RNAcentral's name for it is "bacterial SSU rRNA". It matches the Rfam family "Bacterial small subunit ribosomal RNA", at positions 354 to 796 of the family's 1533-position model. The record is from RNAcentral.